AAGUCGUAACAAGGUUUCCGUAGGUGAACCUGCGGAAGGAUCAUUAUCAAUUUGAUUCAUUCAAAAUCGUGUGAACCGUUUACCUGACUCCCACUGCUUUGGGGGAAGCUACUCGGCUUGGGAAACUAAGCUGGGUCUGGCGCUUGUCGCCAGUGGCCGCGUGUUAAGCGUGUGCUGGUUCCCCCAAAGUAUGGCUUGCUUAUACUUUUCUGUUCAAUCAUGGCUAAAAUCUAAGCUGACUUUAUGAGAAACAGGUAACGCUGUCUCUGUUGGCGAACAAAGUUUUAUACAACUUUCAGCAAUGGAUCUCUCGGCUCUU
RNAcentral lists this unclassified non-coding RNA (319 nucleotides) under fungal sp. Its description in RNAcentral is "partial internal transcribed spacer region". The stretch from base 1 to 46 matches the Rfam family "Eukaryotic small subunit ribosomal RNA", at positions 1786 to 1831 of the family's 1831-position model. The record is from RNAcentral. Lineage: Eukaryota; Fungi.